Long non-coding RNA from Bombus pyrosoma, 11285 nucleotides. RefSeq lists it as uncharacterized. The record is from RefSeq and is a predicted model, not a curated record. Lineage: Eukaryota; Metazoa; Arthropoda; Insecta; Hymenoptera; Apidae. The transcript has 6 exons.
GCAAACUUCAAAAUCACAAAUGCCAGUUCCCUAUCCGCGGCGCGAUCACCAUCCAAUGCGAAAUUUCAUUCAAAUUAUAUAGGUUAUCGCGUCGCUGCCCUUUGUCAAUUCCGAUUAAUUACACUUGGAGUUUAUUAACCGCAAAUGGCAUUUACGUGCGGCUGUCGAAAAGACUUUUAAGCUUGGGUCCGAUUAAACGCUUGAUUACCAAACCAGACAGUCCAAUAUUAUAAAUAUCUGAUGGAACGCAAAGAAAAAUAAAUUCUAUACGACCGGAUGAAAGAUACGUACUGGUAGAUUAAGAAUUUUAUGAAAAUCGUAUAUUCGAUUAAAAAAAAAAAGAAGAAGAAUGAUACGUAUUGAUAAAUUGGAAACUGUAAAUCAUCCAUUAUUUGCCGAGUAAGUAUCUUGAAGAUGUAUAAAUUGGGUGAAAAAUAAUGACGAAUGAACGUUAGUACGAGAGACAUUAACAAAAGAAGAACAUAGCGAAUUAGAAUUGCAUAUUCACCGAAGUAAGAAACACGUGAUGGUAAUUUGAAAAUUAGACGUAAAAUACCACGAAUUUGAAAACUAAACAAAGUUGUAACGUAUGAGAUCCAAUAGGGAAAACAUUAAUUACGAUAUACUAAAUCAUGUUGUGAGCGAUUUAAUGCGACAAAAAUUAACGAAGAUAUACUCUUCAUUUUUAAUUAGACCCUGCGUAAAAUCAUACAGGGGAAAAGACAAUUUUCUGAUAAAGGAAGACCAUCUCUCUGAACAAACGAAAAACUAGCCGAGCCAACUCGAUCAUCGUUAGGAAAUGACGUCCACCCCGUCACGAUGUGCAGCGGCAUCGUAAUACGAUAAUAAGACGAAUCGAACAGAGGUACGAUACGGAUCUUUCAUAAGGCGGCUUUAAAGCAAUCGUAAAAACGUAGCAGCGACCAGCAGUUGCCGUAAAAAUCCCAGAAGUGCUCAACGCAAAUCCUUCUUAUCGAGAGAAAGGAAACUUUCAUCUCGAACAAAUAGCGACACGAAUCCCCGUUGUCCAGCAACAGUAAAUCGAUGAGUUUGGCUCCGUGCAGCUAUUUGCCGGAAAACCGUUCGACCAGGAAACUCGAAAGCAUCGAAGAGAGCAUGAACUAUGAAGGAGAGAAAAAGUAGAAGAUAGGUGAAGAGGGAAAAGGAAACAGACGAUUCUGGUUAGCUUUCGAGAAAGAAGGGGAAGAUUUAUGGUGGUCACUUUAUCGAGAGCGACCUAGUGCUCGAUCAUUUACGAGCUACACCUACGCCAAGGAGCAUUUUUUCCCUUUUCUAAGACUACUACGUCAUUCCGAGUAUUUUUCCUUCUUUGUCCUUUUUUCACGGUCGGGAAAGUGACCUAGCAGAAACGUGACCUUGAUACGGUUACGUUCCUCUCGAUAAACUCGUAUCGAUAGGGGCCACCAGAGACGUAGGCGGAUGAGAAAAGCUUCGACGAGUAUUAAUGACUCUUCUAUCGCGUGGAAAAUUUGAUUCGCCGUGAGACAGUGUCGUUUUUCAAAAUUCGAGGCUCGAAGCAACAGAAUUAUAGCUUUAGCUUUGGCGUUUUCUUCCAGAUCUUAAGAUCCUCUUAAAUCGCCGUUCUUACGACAUUGCGAUCACGAUGAUACAGGAAAUGCAGUUAGAUACGACUAGGAAGAAUUAAUUGGUAUUUUCUUAAAUCGUUCGGAAGGUAAACCCACGGAAAAAGUCGAAGAGAAGAGAAGAAUCAAAUAGCGAGCACGAUAGAAGUGGAAAUAUUUGAAGAAAUGUGAGCUCGAAGCUAAAAACGAUUGUCAGAGAUGUAUAUUAGAUUAUUGCUAGAAUACUCUAUGCAGGAAAUGGAAUAAUAAUCCAUGGGAAAAUGUAUCGAAUAUUUAUCGGAAAAUUCGUAAAACUUUGGGCGAAUAUUUCUCGGAAGAGGGAAUUAAUUAAAAUGAAUUUAACGAUUGAUCUCGUUGGAACACCAUCGUUGUAUUUUUAUAAGCACGGUGAAAGAACGAAUCGAAACCCUUUGAAACUCUAAAGAUCAUGCUUAAUUCGCUGAUAAAUAAGAAACUACAGAGACUCGUUGAAGUUGGUACGAAAUCUGGGAAAAAUGACAGGAUCAAAGAGUUAAAGGGAACCGUUGGUCGCCACUUUAAAAACUCAGCGAACCGCAUUCCACGCGUUCAACGCGUCAAAGCCUGUCUGGUUCAAAGCGAAACUUGCCAAAAAUCUGCCGUAACGUGCCCGAUCGCGCCACUAAUUCCCAACGCUUCUUCGCUUUACCGUAUAAGCAGGCGCGUCACAGUGUUUGGCGAGUUGUGUACGCGCGUUUCACAAGAAACGUCGACAACAAACACGAAUCGCUCGUUCAUCGUGGAAAAUUCGACAGACCAUGGCCACGUAGCGAAGACUCAAUGACGAGGGAUCGACACUGACUGAUCGGCGAAGGGAACUUUCCUCUCUCGACUAUUUUUAACGCGAGGGUCAAAGACGAUCGAAGACGAAAGGAACGGCGAUGGGAUGAAUUUGGCGAUGUAAACGACUCGCGCGGCCACGUAGACUCUACAAGCCACUGGUUUCUGUUUUUCGAGACGCGUGUCCGCCUCAUCGCGAAAUGUCGGACGCGGAAACGCGUAUUAAUAGUCCGGUGGAAAUGGAAUCUAGGUGAGCAACGGAGAAACAGACGGCCGAACGAGCUGUUACGCGGCGAGCUUCGGCCGAGGGUGAGACGAAUUCGCGCCGGAUUCCAAUGGAUGUUCGCGAAUUUAUUGCCCGGCCGUCCGAUCGAUCGUCGAACCAGUGACUUUCGCGUGCUUUCACGGAGAAUUUCGCAAUCUACCGCCAACGUGUUCUGGCCCGUUGGAUUAAGUUGUUAGCGUGCUGUUUCCAUUUAGUGCGCCGGUUGUUGCCUGUGUACCAUGGGAUUAAUGAGAUUCGGUCGAGUUUAAGGUUUUUGUGUUUCUAUUUCACAGCUGCAAUUAACGCAGUUGUUACCAUUAAAGUAUGGUUAUAGCUUCUGGAUAUUUACGCAGUUUAACAGACUUUGUCUAAUAGAUAUCGUUUAUUUAAACGUAACGGUCAGUUUUGCGUUUGCCUUCUUAAAUUCUUUCAACGAGGUGCAUAAUUUUAAAACUGUAAUUGCUAUGUCGGUAGCGUUGCAUAGAAUCUAAUAAUAAGUAUGACAAUUGAAUCGAUGCAACAUACGAGCCAGUAGCAGUGGCCGCAUUAAAAAGCACAACGAUCACGAUAUAAUAUACGUACGUGAGAUGGCGCUAUUCCGUAAAUUUUUCGUCGUUCCGAGUGCUGAGAAAAUACCACGACAGAGUUCGAGUAAUUAACGAAUCAUGCUCGUACGAAACUAAACAAGAACACCUGGAGGAAAGUAAACGAAAGCGUCCCGAUCGAUGAAUCGUGUACGGAAGGAUCGGUUUGACGAGCACACAGCUGCGCAUGCGCGCAAUCGCAGCGACACGUUUGAAAUAAUUCAACAACCAAGUCACGAGAAUCACGAGAUCUCGAGACAGACAAGAGCUGGCGGCAAUCCGUGAAGGCUCAGCAGACCGCCGUCUGGAUGCCGGCCAGGAAGCGUAAUACUGUGAAAUUGCCGGUGGAACGAGGCAAAAAGCGCGCGAGAACGUGUACCAACGUCGUCGUCGAUUCGCGGCGUGCUUUCCUCGCGAGUGAAUCGCGAGUUACGCUCCCUCUGUGCGCCCAGGGAGGGUGGCCGGCCCGAAAUUUGCAUUGCAGAGUGAAAUUAGCUUGGUAAAAAGUGGCCGGCCCCAUAAGGAAUUUGCAAUGUUAACGAGGCCGAUCGCCGCGUUUCUGAUGCACACCGAGAACCCGGAGAGCUGAGUCAAUGGUCGGUAUAGAAGCUUUCUGCUUAAGCAACGGCCGUUGGAACAGCAUUGAUUUCAUCUUUCCUCGCAAGGUGGCAACAACUUCAACAAUCGCGACCGCCAUGGAUAUUAACACGGAUAAAACUGUGGCCAACUUCAACGAUCGAUUAACUGGUGAACUUCGUCUAAUUGCUGCAGCGCUAAUUAAAAUCAAGAACAAGAAGUUGGAAUCAAAUUAGGAAAGGCGGAACCGUGUGUCUCCAGCGAUAUGUCGCCAACCACCAUAAACUUGAAAAGGCUGCAAUUAGAUGUGCACUUAACACCUUUCGAAUCCAUAUGUGUUUGAAGAGGAACAAUGCUGCUUCAGUCAUCAAGGAUGAUAAAUCAUACCCUUCGGUGUUAACUUCAUAAACUGUGACACCCGGUAGAGAGGAAAGCGACCGCGUAGCGAGGAACGACCACCCGUAGAGGGCUUCGCAACUGAAAUCGUAAUAAUUACUAAUUAAGCAACAGGCACACUUGAAUCCGUAAUUACUGCUCCCUUGGCACAGCUACGCAACAAUUUUUAAUUAUUACGAGCCACCCAACGGAGAACAAUCUGAAUGCCUGCCUUCCCUUCGAACGAAACACUGGCACGUGCUUUUUUCUCCUUUUUCACAAGAUAGUUCCAGCUUUUUAUUUUCUCGCUGCGCUGCUAAUACGCGGAAUACGUUUGUUCUCGUAUUUUUAGAUAUUAUUGUCUUUGGGUGAUGAGCUGGAGGUUUGUUCGAUAUCUCUGAAAUACGGCCCAAUGCAUUUUAAUUAAUGGAAUUAUUAGUUGUGACGACAGAAAAUCUACGAAUGUAACUGUACGUAAUUCUAUGAUAUUAGUUAGACGUAUGAUGUCGAUAGAGUUAGAAACUUUUGGUAGGAUUAAUUAUUCCAUAUGUCACAGCUUAGAAAUUAUUUAAGUAUAGACUUAAGUUGGCAAUUUUUGAAUAUUGAUAUUUAUCGUAUUUAUUUUAUAUAUGUAUUGUAUAAAAAUUGUACUAUGCUGAACGCUUCGUCGUGCAUUUAGAGGAGAUAAUACGAAGGUGGUAUAAUUGAUGAUUCGGUACAAAGCUAUUGGUCGGUGGUAUUCCAUCAUAGGACAGAUUGACAGGUCGAUGGAUCCGUUGAAGAGCAGAUUUAGGAUACUAUUUGUCCGUUAUUUGUCGAAAAUGACAAAACCUAACUUUGGACCAACACGUGAUAUUACAGUCAUAUGAAGAACUUUUUUUUCAGUGAAACGAAUUACGCGUUGCAAUAAUGGAAAACGAUUUAAUUAGUUUCAUCCGAUAAACGUACACGGUCAGCGUUGUUCGAGGAAAAUAAACGAUGCAUCGACAACGAAUUGUUGCUAUUUAUUAUAUUGUAACUAUUUCCACGAUACGACACACUGUUAUCAUAAAGUUUCUACGUUGUCGGUGAAGUUCCUGCAGUGAAACGUUACACGCGAAUUCAUGACGAAAUGUGUUCAUUAAAAAUUUACAUACUCCAUACGCGAAAGAUCGUUUGCUGCCAAGAGAGAUGAGUUUAUUUAUGUAAUGUAUUUUAAUUAGCUUUGACGAGAUAGUAUGUAUGACUGUCUAUCGCGUAGUAUGUAUAAUUUAUUAGAAGGCGGGUGAAACUUCACGAGGCAUCGUAAGAAAGUAUGCGCGAAUAAAAUCUUAAUUAAAAUUAGGAAAAACUUCCAUGAAACUUGGUAUGUUAAAUCAACACCUAAUGUAAAAUUGUUCUUGGAUGAAAUCUUUCUGAUUGAAUUCUUUCAAUUUACAUGCAAAUGUUAUGUUUUAUUCAAGCUUUCGUUUGGAUAAAGAUGAUUUGCCCGUAACAUUUUUAUACAUUUUUACUUGAAAUAAGUUUUACAAAGUUUCAUCUAUACAGCAAAAGAAGCUCUGUAUUUGAAAUUUGAUUAGUUAUUAUUCGUUGGCAUGAUACUCAUUCAUGGUUACGUAGUGAAACAAUAUUUGUCGUAUAUUAGGAAUUCCUUCAUUAAAAAUAUCGUUAUGGGCCACUUGUAUGAAAAAACAUUGUAAAUUUUUGUCGUAGACAUAGUUGAAAGUAUCAGGAAUCUACAUAUUUCGUAAAGCUUAUGAAAUUCGUACACCACUAAAGGAACAAAUUUUUAGAAACGAUCGAUGUUACUUAAUUUUUAAAAGAGAAAAGUGAAACUUGUCUUGUAUCGUUAUGUAUCGCUCCAAAGACCUUUGACGUUCAACGUUUCAUUUUCGUAAAUCUUUUUUCUGUUUAACUUUUCCCGCAAAAAUAAUUUUGUCGUGAAGCGUAAUUGCUCGUGGAGCAAUUAUUUUCGUUAAUGAGAACAAUUCGUCUGAAAAGUUCUCGUAUCUCGUGGAAUAUGCUAAACUAUACAUCACUUUCUAUCUUGUGGAAAUGAGCAGUACGAAACCGGCUAGGUAAAUAUCAGGCGUGGAAGUAAACUCUCUCUGCCAUGAACAGCAUAAUUUUCAACGGUGCCGGUGCCAUUUCUGCAACUAGUACAGUCAUCUGUUACGCAGCCGAGCCAGUUAUCAACGGUCUAACGAAUGUUUACAGUAAUUCGGUGCUAUUAUUCAUUGGCGGUUCUCUAACGCGAAACUUCGCUUAGAUCAGGAUGCGUUCAAUUUCUGCCGGUCCCCUGUUCAUUGGCAUUCCUCGUGGAUAAUUAUAUCCAUUAAAUUGCGUUUCUACAGUAUAGUCGGAUUCGUCGAGUGACAAAGUCGACUCUUGAUUGUCACCAACGACGUUUAAGUUGGCCGCGUUGAUUCCUGUGGAUUCCCUUGUAACUGCGCCCCGUUCAUUUCGUCGUAAUGAACGCUCGAAGCGGAAAUGAUCCUCUCUUACUGACACUUUUCUUACUUUGGUCCUUUCAAAAGAGAUAUCCUUUGAACGCAUCCGAAGCGAACGUAAAGGGAAUCGAAUAAGAAGGGCGGUUCAAAAAUGAUAAAACGAGAAGUUUGUUCGAAGCGAUCAGGGAAGGUGUUGCUGUUCAAUUAAAGCUUAAUGAAAAUUUUCGUUUUCGUUUUACACGAUUUUUCACUGUGUGAUCGUAAAGGAAUGAAAAGGAAGGUAGGUUAAAUGAAAUGGCAGAGCGAAAGGUGUGUUGGAAGAGAUGAAAGAAAGUGUUGACGUUCGACUAAUGCUGAAUGAUAGUUCCCAUUUUAAAUAUGGCCACGUUGUUUGGCCAUAAGACAUAAAUAGUAUUCGGUAUUUCUCUUAAACAAAUGUUCUUUAGAUUUAGGAUUCUCUCAAUGAUCUUACUUUCAUAAUACAGUUAUUCUUACUGUCAUGUUAGAUUUUAUUUUUGACCAAUAGUUUAAUACACUGCGCAAAACAAUUAAAGCAUCGCUAUCAUAAAUGGUUGUUACAUUAACUAAGUAAACGGAAACAGGAAAGUCCUAUAGUUUUAAUGUAUCGACAUGUCUCUCGUAUAAUACUGUGAUAAAGAUUGACUUAAUUAACGAUGAUCAUUAAAAACAAAUAUAGAGAAUCGACAUAAAAACCAAAGUGAUACGGGAAACGAUUUUCUACAUAAUUAUUUUAAACGGCAUAUUUACUUGUAUAACAAUCAAUAAUUUAAUAUAAAUGAAAUAUUUAUCAGACGUAAAAAUUACAAUCUAUCGUAGGAUUAAAUAUUAUCUUCUUCCAAUUUGUUACAUAGGUAUUAUUUCAAAUCGUGUGUUUUUCCAUCACUUCCGUCGACAAACAUUGCACACGUUAAUUUUAAAACUUUCAUAUAAAUUGAAAGCAAAUGGGAGAAUAUUCGCAAUAAAAAAUAAACGUACAUGAAAUACAUGAAAAUUGGCGCGUGGAAAAAUCAAACUAGCCUCGGAUUAAUCGUGAGCGUCGAUCGAAAAAAGCAAAUAUUAUUUCAAGCGUAGAGGAUGCAGAUACAGAGAUUCAGCGCGUACCAACGAACGUGAAACGAGUUCUUGCGUUUUAAGGCGAAAAGUUUCUCGUUAAUCUCUUUUCAACGGAGGUUACGAGAUUUUCAACCGCAACCGCAUACAGAAUCGUCGCCCACGUGCAUUUGCAUACACAGUGAAGCCAUUUGAAAUGGUGGCGGACGUAUCUAGGUAAGCUGUGUAAGGUCGUCUUUAGAAACCGCAAACGACGCUACCCUACGGCGCGGUCAUUAUUUAUUAAACUCGCGAUUUAAUAGCCUGGAAUUCCUUCUCGUAGAAAUAUCAACGAAUUCGCGGAGGUAUGUUCUGAUAUUUAUGACCCAAGAACGGGUCUUGUGCGACAACGAACGAAAUUGGAUGAGAAAGAAAAAUGGUUGUUUUAAUGGGUAGAAAAGUUUCCAGCUUCAAAACCAUGUGUUUGUAGUUCAAAUAAUUCCUAAUUGCUUGGUGUUUGCGAAUAAAAAAUGUGUAUCAUGUCAAACAGUUAAAACUCUACCACAAGACUAUCAAGUUAUUCGAUCGUUCUAUUUAACAGAAUGUUAUGAAAUUGUAAAGAACAAGUAUAUAACUUAUAACUUGUAAUUUGUCCAAAACUGUAUUAACAUUAUUAGUUGAAAAACUGUAGUGCAACCGAGCUUGGAUUAUGUGUAUAUAUUUAAGCCAACUAUUUGAAAGGAAAAAGCGUUUUCCAAGAAGCAAAUAUCUAUGUAAUAUGCAAAUUAUUCCAAAUAACAUACAAAUACAGAGUUGUCUAUAUUGCAAUUGCUAAUAGCAAUUUGCCUUUGCGAAGUACCGUCGUAUAGCAUUCACGGUCGCGUGUACAUUACGUUAGACGCGGCUGCGAAUGUAAACAAAUCGAUGUCAUGAAAUUAGCGCGAAUCGAAUCAUAUAGGCAAUCGACAUCAAAGGAUCAGUAAGCAAAUUAGCACGGAAUCAUCGGUUACUUCCUAACGACCCCUUUAAAAGCAAAGAGUCAUAAUGGAAGAUUUAUAAACCGUGCAAAUAAUCCGUGACAGCCUCUCGAUGCUCGCGUGCAUACGACGUGAAAUACGAUUCUCGCGGAAGCUCGUCUUACUUCGGACGGAAAUGACGUGAAAUGCGAACGUACACGCGUCAUCCUUGCAUUAUGCCUCUUAUUUGAGAAGGAAACCAUAUCUGACGCGUCACUACCGCCGCACAUAACUUGUUGAAACUUUGAAAAUUAGAUCUACGAUACGGAUGUACGCAAAUGUAACUUUCAAAGAAUGCAACGUGAACGCGAUGCAAGUUUUAAAGUACAACCGAGGGAGAAAAUUUAAAAAUCACUAGAAAUUAUAUGGUCGUUGUAAAAGUGAUGCGAUUUUAGUAAAAGUAGAAUAGAAAAUUUGAUGGGAAAGGACGAACAAUUAUAAUAGAAUGAGAGAAUUCGUUGCUGAUCAAUUGUCAACUGAGAAUCUUUCAUUUUUAUCUGUUAUCCACAAAAAUGAACAACCGCGUUACGGUUCUGAUUAAAUUACCAUGUUUAUUGGUAAAAAAUUUACGUUUUAUGAAAAUAUACAAAGAUCAUUGUAGACGCGUGUGUAACGUUUCCUUCCAAUUUUAUGCAAAAGAUUCUUUUAAAAUAUUAAAAACCAUCUUUGCUCGUUGAAACGAAAUAUUCUCUUUGAAAUAGAACUAGGUAUUUUCGCAACGUAUCUACAAAAUUCAAACGCUUGCGUGUUUAAUUAAAUUAAGCUGGAAGAACAUUUAAUUAUCACGAAACGUCUAAGUAACGUCACUCUUCAAGUUCCUCUACAAUUUGGACUUUGACGUACAUUUGGAUACUAAAUUUCCAACAAGCUUUAGAUUUAGUUCUAACAAGUCGCGCGCUAACUUUGAUGUAACUUAAACAUAAUUCCAACCCAAUUUGUAUGCGCAUUACAGACACGUAUAAGGACAAGUCUACGAACUUGGACACUAGGGACUAAACUAAAGGAUUAUCAAUAUGUAGUUAUCAACACCUGGCUCUCUUGAUAAAUUAAAUUAUAGUCCCUGCAAUAAAUCGCACGCAUAAAGUCUUACCCAUAACUUACACCGUAUACAAUUUCAUUCAAACGAUCUCAAAAUUCUAAGUAUCGUUAUUGGUGCCAGCAGAUUUGGUUACAGUUACCAUAAUACAAUUUUAGUUGUGUUGUAAAAUAUAUAUACGUCAAAGAAGAAGGAAUUCCCGCGACAUCAUCACGACGCAUCGGAUGACAUUUGCUAGGGCUGUGAAUUUUCUUGAGAAAUAAGCUCUCAUAGAAUUCUAUCAGACACCGGCUGCACCUCAGAAGAUAGGAAUAGCCCUAUUAUUCCUUUCUCCAGGGAAAAUGGGAAAAUCAAGAGAGAGGUUCUCGAGAGUUCAAGGGAAAGAGAGUGUACUAGGACAUUAGUUAUGAAUAUAUUCUGGCUAGAAUAUAAAGAAAAUUACUAUAGUCGACAUCACUAGAAAUAAUUAAAUCGUAUCUGUGUAUAAAACACAGUGCCUAUGUGUAUAUAUUGUAAAAGACACUAUCCGUUAAUAUAAUGCAGUAUAGUAUAAUGCAGAAGAUCGUGUUAAUUUACGAAAAUUGAUUCGCCGAGUCUACUUCUCGAGUCUAUAGGAUGAACAACUUGCGUAAUAUCCAAAAGCUUGACGAAAUAAGAAUUGCCACGCCCUAUCAACCAUGGCCAGUGACACGGUCAUCGAACAGACGACGUCAUUCACCCGGCCGUUUUCUUUUUUAUUGUCCGACGGUCCGCUUCCUUACGAUAUUCGUUUCGACUUUUCUUUAUUUCCGUUUGCUUAACGGUGCGGCCGCGAAACAAAGGGGAUGGAUGCCGAGGGGCGGUUAUCGCGCAGCGCUCUUUUGUGUCUGCUCCUCUUCCUGCGGGCUCAUCACCCAACCCUCCGCUAUUCCUCCGCGCGGUCUUUCGGCCUUCCAUAACUUUCCAUUCCUCUGCACGGUAUGCUCGCUACUUCGUCUAAUCACUGGGUACCUCGUCGAGGUAAAAAGGAAAACGGAACGCGGCCGGAAGUGGGCGCGGAAAGGAAAAGGGACGAAGCGAGGCAAGAGAAGUCACGACCCCUGCGUAAACGGCGUACUUGCGCGGAAAAAGACCGCGAUCGAGAUCGCGAUACUACCUUCCACCCUACAGAAAGGCGAAUCAGUUUUUUUUACGAGGUUGAAGGGUGGCUAAAAUUCGUCGGAUUCGUUCUUGAUGAAACAUGACAGGCGGACAAUUUUUGAUCAAAGUGGAAAGUUGUACGAACAUGUAGAUUGUUUGAUGUGGGUGUGUAACCUUCGGCUUAAAAGAGAUAAAUCGAUGUAUCAACGGUUUUUGUGUUUGUAACUGUAACACGUUUGUUUAAUAUCGAUCGGUCUUGUUUGAUGCGAAAUGCGAGGUUGUGCAAUAUGAUACGUUAUUGUUGAAUUUUAAUACUCCGUGGUUGUAGAUAAUUGUAAAAUAUAAUAAUAACAGAGUCUGGAUUUACACAUACGGAGUAUUAAAAGUCAAUGGAAUUUUGAGAUAUUUUUUCAUUAACGCAGUUCACGGAUGU